GGAAAAAUGAUGGAGCUGUUGCACUUUCUGAUCAAAGGCUUUUCUCUUGUGUUACAUGUGGAGUCUUAAGCUUUGAUUGUGUAGCUAUUGUUCAACCUAAAGAAGCAGCAGCUAGAUAUCUCAUGUCUGCAGAUUGUAGCUUCUUCAAUGAUUGGACAGCUGCUUCCGGAUCUGCAAAUCUUGGUCAGGCUGCUAGAUCACUUCAUCCGCGUAGGUUACAUGUCGCACUUUCUGUUAAUGGCUGUUAUUUUAGCAUUUACUAACUUUGUUUCAUCAUGCAGAAAGUACCGAAAAGCAUGAUGUAAAUUACUUCUACAAUGAUCCUGUUCAAACUAUGGAUCAUUCAAUGAAGACUGGCGAUCAAAGAACUUCAACAACUUCCCUGACAAUGGCGCAUAAAGAUAAUGGUGCUCUUGGGCUGUUAGCUUCGGCAUAUGGAGACUCUUCUGAUUCCGAGGAAGAAGGUCAAAAAGGCUUAGAUGUCCCUACUUCCGAAGGGGAAACGAAAAAGUAUGAUCAAGAAGAUGCAGAUGGCAAUGAGGAGGCUAGAGAUGGUCGAACUUCAGAUUUUAACAGCCAGAGACUUACCAGCGAACAGAAUAGGUUAAGCAAAGGCGGAAAUUCAUCACUUCUGGAAAUAGCUUUACCAUUUAUUCCAAGAUCUGAUGACGAUUCAUGUCGGUUGCACGUGUUUUGUCUUGAGCAUGCUGCGGAAGUGGAACAGCAACUUCGUCCUUUUGGGGGGAUUCACAUAAUGCUACUAUGCCAUCCAGGUAACAGCAAAACUACACGAAUCAUUUUUAUUAGUCUUGUGACUUGGUUUGUUUUUUUCUGUAUUUAUAAGGCAAAUUUUUUAGUCUUUUUCAUCAUUUAGAGUCACAAUAUUUGCAGAGUACCCCAGGAUAGAGGCUGAAGCAAAGAUAGUUGCCGAAGAGCUUGUCAUAAAUCACGAAUGGAAUGAUACUGAAUUCAGGAAUGUGACCCGAGAGGAUGAGGAAACGAUUCAGGCAGCGUUGGAUAAUGUGGAACCUAAGGGUGGGAACAGUGAUUGGACUGUAAAAUUGGGUAUUAACCUUUCUUACAGCGCUAUUCUCAGUCGCUCUCCUCUGUACAGUAAGCAGAUGCCGUACAACUCUGUCAUAUACAAUGCAUUCGGUCGCAGCUCUCCAGCAACAAGCUCACCCUUGAAACCGGAAGUCUCUGGUAAAAGAUCUUCCAGACAGAGGAAAUAUGUUGUUGGAAAAUGGUGUGGUAAGGUUUGGAUGUCGCAUCAGGUACUAUUGUCUAACCUGAAACCAUACUAAUUCAGACAUUAGUACACUUCUAUUUCUGCUUGAUUUGGUUCAAUAUUAAGACUCCUUUUUCUUUUCUUUCUUCAGGUGCAUCCCUUUUUGCUGGAGCAGGACUUAGAGGGGGAAGAAUCUGAAAGGAAUUGUCAUCUGCGUGGUGCUCUGGUUGAGGAUGUCACUAGAACGGGAUUGCUUCCUUGUAAUGUCUCUAGAGAUGCAACUACAAUGUUUGGAAGAAAGUAUUGUAGGAAGAGAAAGGUCAGGGCAAAGGCUGUGCCACGCAAGAAGCUGACUUCUUUUAAGAGGGAAGAUGGAGUUUCUGAUGACACAUCAGAAGAUCAUUCUUAUAAGCAGCAAUGGAGGGCUUCCGGGAAUGAGGAAGAGUCUUAUUUUGAGACAGGGAAUACAGUUUCUGGUGAUUCGUCAAAUCAAAUGUCUGAUCAGCAGCUCAAGGGAAUUCGUCGACACAGGGGUGUUAAAGAAUUUGAGUCGGAUAAUGAGGUUUCAGACCGUUCACUUGGGGAAGAAUAUACUGUAAGGGGAUGUGCAGCUUCAGAGAGCUCAAUGGAGAAUGGCUUUCAGCAGUCAAUGUAUGAUGAUGAUGAUGAUGAUGAUGAUAUCGACAGGCACCCUAGGGGAAUUCCAAGGAGCGAACGGAUUGCAGUUUUUAGGAAUCCAGUUUCAUAUGAUUCAGAAGAAAAUGGCAUUUAUCAUCAAAGGGGAAGAGUAUCCCGAAGUAAUAGGCAAGCUAAUCGAAUGGGUGGUGAAUAUGAUUCAGAAGAGAAUUCUUUGGAGGAACAAGACUUUUGCAGUACAGGGAAAAGGCAAACCAGGUCCACAGCCAAACGAAAAGUUAAAAUCGAGACAGUUCGGAGUCCGAGAGACACAAAAGGUCGCACUUUGCAAGAAUUUGCAUCUGGAAAGAAGAAUGAAGAAUUGGAUUCAUACAUGGAGGGACCUAGCACACGGCUUAGGGUGAGAAACCUGAAGCCGUUGAGAGCGGCUUCAGAAACAAAGCCAAAGAAGAUUGGUAAGAAGAGAAGUGGUAAUGCUUCCUUCUCCAGAGUUGCAACUGAAGAAGAUAUGGAGGAAGAUGAAGAAGCAGAGAAUGAGGAAGAGGAAUGUGCAGCGUACCAAUGUGACAUGGAGGGUUGCACAAUGAGUUUCAGUUCGGAAAAACAGUUGACAUUGCAUAAAAGAAACAUCUGCCCUGUUAAAGGCUGUGGUAAAAACUUCUUCUCACACAAGUAUUUGGUUCAACACCAGCGAGUUCACUCAGACGACCGUCCUCUGAAAUGCCCAUGGAAGGGCUGUAAGAUGACGUUCAAGUGGGCUUGGUCAAGAACUGAGCACAUAAGGGUUCACACAGGCGCUAGGCCUUAUGUUUGCGCUGAACCAGGUUGUGGUCAGACAUUCCGGUUUGUCUCAGAUUUUAGCCGGCAUAAAAGGAAGACCGGUCAUUCGGUAAAGAAGACCAAGAAAAGGUAAUUUAGGCUCUAACAUUGGAAUCUUUCAUGAAGAGAUUACUCCAUUGAUCUAUUAGAAGAAGAUUGGAUUGUAGGGAUUUUAGGGGUUUUCUAAGUGUGUAUGUCUCUCUGGUCCUUUGUCUUUUUGGGAUUAUUAUUCAGUCAAAAGUCUUAACAUUUGGAAGAGCCAUUGUUUGUUGCAGCAUUUUCACUUUCAGACAGAUUAUCUCUUUGUUGUACUAUUGUCUACUUUGCAAUUGAAUGAAUCUGUAGCAAAUCCUGGUGUAGGAAAAGUAUUGGGUUACUGUUACUUAAAUAAAUUUGACAUAUAUGGUUGUCUACGUGGCUUAUCCUUGUUGGUUGAUUAUGUGCAUCGCCGUGGACUUCAUUUGACCUUGAUAAAGACUCAACCUACCAAAUUGCUAAUGAAUGACAUUACCUAUGUCAACUUAUAGUUAAAACCGAAUAAUACAAAAUAUAAGAAAAAUAACCAAAAAUAUAGGAAUUACCAAAAUAAAAUUAUACCGUAGUUAAAAUCAGUACUAGGUGUUUUUUUGCUAAACAAAAAUGUUAAACCAGAAAAAGAGUAACUUUUGCGCAAAACGGGAAAACAAGACAACAAGAAAUGUGUGUAUAACUCACAAAAUGGCAGAAUCGUAAAUAGUAAAAAAAAAGGGUCUACUCAUUGCUGUUUCACCUGUUUGGUGCAAAGAGAUUAAAUUUAAAAAAGCAAUAAAACAAAACAGAGAAAUGAGAGAAAUCACAAUCUCAGAAAGACUUGCUCUGCCCAAAACCCAACCCCUCUCUCAAAAAAUACAAUUGUUUCCUCUGUUUCUUUAAUCCAAAUUAAAAACAGAGUCGCAAAAAGAAUCGAAAGAUCAAGCCCUUCGUUUUGUUCGAGGUCCCUAAAGUACAUAGAUGACCCUUUAACCAAAACUAAAAGCCCUUUUGGAGAAGAGAGACCGACUCAUCGAAUCUCUUUUAUUAACUCUGCUUCCUUUUCGUCCAUUUUUUUUGUUCUGUUUUCUCUGUAAUAGCGUUUUAAUGUGUACCCAGAAGCUAAAAGCCUGAAAGGCUGAAAGUGAACUAAUUUUGAGUGAAAGGUUAUAACUUUUUGUGCUUUCGAUGGCGGUUUCAGAGCAGAGUCAAGACGUAUUUCCAUGGCUUAAAUCGUUACCGGUUGCUCCAGAGUUCAGACCUACUUUAGCAGAGUUUCAAGAUCCGAUCGCCUACAUUUUUAAGAUCGAAGAAGAAGCUUCUAGAUAUGGAAUCUGUAAAAUUCUGCCUCCACUGCCUCCUCCUUCUAAAAAAACCUCAAUUUCUAACCUCAACCGUUCUCUGGCGGCAAGAGCGGCGGCGAGGGUUCGUGACGGCGGAGAGAGUUCGUUCGAUUAUGACGGUGGUCCCACAUUCGCCACGCGGCAACAGCAGAUCGGUUUUUGCCCUAGGAAGCAGCGUCCCGUGCAGAGACCUGUGUGGCAGAGCGGAGAGCAUUACAGUUUUGGUGAGUUCGAGGCCAAAGCUAAGACCUUUGAGAAGAAUUAUCUGAAGAAAUGUGGCAAAAAGAGUCAACUCUCUGCCCUAGAAAUCGAAACACUUUACUGGAGAGCAACAGUGGAUAAACCCUUCUCUGUUGAGUAUGCCAAUGACAUGCCAGGUUCGGCUUUUAUCCCUCUGAGUCUGGCAGCUGCGAGGAGGAGAGAGUAUGGUGGCGAUGGAGGAACAGUUGGUGAGACAGCUUGGAACAUGAGGGCAAUGUCUAGAGCCGAAGGAUCAUUGCUUAAGUUCAUGAAGGAGGAGAUUCCUGGAGUUACAUCACCAAUGGUGUAUAUUGCUAUGAUGUUUAGUUGGUUUGCUUGGCAUGUGGAGGAUCAUGACCUUCAUAGUCUCAAUUACUUGCAUAUGGGUGCUGGUAAGACUUGGUACGGUGUGCCAAAGGAUGCUGCUGUGGCUUUUGAGGAGGUGGUUAGGGUUCAUGGUUAUGGUGGAGAGCUUAAUCCUCUUGGUGAGUUUACUUUUCCUCCAAAUACUUAUUGCUUACAUUGUCACUUGUGUAAAGACGAUGGUUGGUUUUUGUUUCAAACUUGAGUCGACUUUUGAAGGAUUCUGAAACUUGGUUAAUUUCAGUACAUUGUUGGCAUGUUUGUGUCUCUAUCAUUGUGUGUUGCUUUUUUCCAAAAGUUGACCAAGAAGUAGAUAUUUAUGAAUCUAUUGCUGUCUUCUCAGUGACCAUUUCUACUCUUGGUGAGAAGACAACUGUGAUGUCACCUGAAGUUUUUGUUAAAGCUGGAAUACCUUGUUGCAGGUAAUGUUUUUCUUGUGUGUGCUCUGUUAUCUCUUUCUGCUUAAUUCUAUUCUACUCGUUUCAGUUGAUUAGAAACAUCCAGAGGCACUAUCUCUUGGUUUCCACUCAAGUUAUUUGCUUGUUAUCAGGUUAGUACAAAAUCCUGGAGAGUUUGUCGUCACUUUUCCAAGAGCAUAUCAUUCAGGGUUUAGUCACGGUGAGCGAAUGACAUUAAGUCUCUUUCAAGAGUCAAUCAUUCAAGGCUUCACAUGUUGAAACUAACUUAUAUUAUCCGGAAAAUAAUAAAAAAAUCUUUGGGGGUUUUAGGAUUCAAUUGUGGAGAAGCAUCUAACAUUGCAACUCCCGAAUGGUUGAGAGUGGCUAAAGAUGCUGCUAUCCGCCGAGCUGCUAUAAAUUACCCUCCAAUGGUUUCUCAUCUCCAGUUACUAUAUGACUAUGCAUUGGCUCUAGGUUCUAGGUACUUGUUUCUUUUUCAUCAUCACUCUCCAACUUUUAAACUGCUUGAAAGAUUCAUAUAAGGUGUGUUUCACUCAUUGCAGAGUGCCAACAAGCAUCAACACCAAACCACGGAGUUCUAGAUUGAAAGAUAAGAAAAGAAGCGAAGGAGAAAGAUUGACCAAAAAGCUGUUUGUGCAAAACAUUAUCCACAACAAUGAAUUGCUUUCUUCUCUCGGAAAAGGAUCCCCUGUGGCCCUUCUCCCACAGAGUUCUUCAGAUAUAUCAGUUUGUUCUGACCUACGAAUUGGAUCCAAUUUGAUAACUAACCAGGAAAACCCAAUCCAAUUAAAGUCUGAGGACUUAAGUUCUCAUAGUGUUAUGGUCGGUCUCAACAACGGUUUAAAGAAUACAGUUUCAGUAAAAGAAAAGUUUACAUCUUUAUGUGAAAGGAACAGAAAUCAUCUGGCAAGCAGUGAGAAGGAAACUCAAGAAACUCUGUCUGAUGCUGAAAGGAGGAAAAAUGAUAGAGCUGUUGCGCUUUCGGAUCAAAGGCUUUUCUCUUGUGUUACAUGUGGAGUCUUAAGCUUUGAUUGUGUAGCUAUUGUUCAACCUAAAGAAGCAGCAGCUAGAUAUCUCAUGUCUGCAGAUUGUAGCUUCUUCAAUGAUUGGACAGUUGUUUCCGGGUCUGCAAAUCUUGGUCAGGCUGCAAGAUCACUUCAUCUGCGUUAGUUACAAGCCACUUUUCCUGUUAAUGGCUAUUAUUUAACAUUUACCAACUUUGUUUCACCAUGCAGAAAGCACGGAAAAGCAUGAUAUGGAUUUCUUCUACAAUGUUCCUUCUCAAACUACGGAUCACUCAAUGAAUACAGGUGACCAAAAAACUUCAACAGUGUCUCUAACAACAGCUCAUAAAAAAGAUGGUGCUCUUAGUUUGUUAGCUUCAGCGUAUGGAGAUUCUUCUGAUUCUGAGGAAGAAGGUCACAAAGUCUUAGAUGCUUUUGUCUCGGAAGAUAGAAAGUAUGACCAAAGUGGUUCUUGUGCAUAUGAAGCAUCAUCUUUUGACACAGAUGGCAAAGAGGAGGCUAGAGAUGGUCAAUCUUCUGAUUCUAACAGACAAAGACUUGUAUGUAGGAAAGAGACAGGGGUUGUUCAGGGCUCAAAUGCUACUUCUACUUGUUCGACGCUUUCUUGCACCACUGAACAUAGUAGGUUAAGGAAAGGCAGCAAUACAUCUCUACCCUUUGUUCCAAGAUCUGAUAACGAUUCUUCUCGGUUGCACGUGUUUUGUCUUGAGCAUGCUGCAGAAGUGGAACAGAAACUCCUUCCUAUUGGGGGAAUUCAUUUAAUGUUACUGUCCCAUCCAGGUAACAGCAAACUACAAGAUUCAUUUUUAUUAGUCUUGUGACAUAUUUUAAGUGUUUUCACCUCUAAGGCGCACAAAAUUUUCAGAGUACCCCAGGAUAGAGGCUGAAGCAAAGAUAGUUUCCGAAGAGCUCGUUAUCAAUCACGAUUGGAAUGAUACUGAAUUCAGGAAUGUGACCCGAGAGGAUGAGGAAACGAUUCAGGCAGCGUUGGAUAAUGUUGAAGCUAAGGCUGGGAACAGUGAUUGGACUGUAAAAUUGGGUAUUAACCUUUCUUACAGUGCUAUUCUCAGUCGCUCUCCUCUGUACAGUAAACAAAUGCCUUACAACUCCGUCAUAUACAAUGCAUUCGGUCGCAGCUCUCCAGCAAAAAGCUCACCCUUGAAACCCGAAAUCUUUGGUAGAAGAUCUUCCAGACAGAGGAAAUAUGUUGUUGGAAAAUGGUGUGGUAAGGUUUGGAUGUCGCAUCAGGUACAAUUGUCUAACCUGAAUCCAUACUCAUUCAGACAUUAGUACACUUCUGUUUCUGCUUGGUUUGGUUCAAUAUUCAGACUGCUUUUUCUUUUCUUUCUUCAGGUGCAUCCCUUUUUGCUGGAGCAGGACUUAGAGGGGGAAGAAUCUGAAAGAAGUUGUCAUCUCCGAGCUGCUAUGGAUGAGGAUGCCGCUGGAAAGAGAUUUUUUCCUAAUAAUGUUUCUAGAGAUGCAACAACAAUGUUUGGAAGAAAGUACUGUAGGAAGAGAAAGGUCAGGGCAAAGACUGUGCCACGCAAGAAGCUUACUUCUUUUAAGAGGGAAGAUGGAGUUUCUGAUGACACAUCAGAAGAUCAUUCUUAUAAGCAGCAAUGGAGGGCUUCCGGGAAUGAGGAAGAGUCUUAUUUUGAGACAGGGAAUACAGUUUCUGGUGAUUCGUCAAAUCAAAUGUCUGAUCAGCAGCUCAAGGGAAUUCGUCGACACAGGGGUGUUAAAGAAUUUGAGUCCAAUGAUGAGGUUUCAGAUCGUUCACUUGGAGAAGAAUAUGCUGUAAGGGAACGUGCAAUUUCAGAGAGCUCAACGGAGAAUAGCUUUCAGCUAUAUGGACAUUCAAUCGACGAUAAUGCUUUGGAGGGCUCUUUAUAUGGUCAUGAUGAUAAUAAACUCUACAAGCACCCUAAGGGUCUUCCAAGGAGCAAACAGACUAAUGUGUUUAGGAAUCCGGUUUCAUAUGAUUCAGAGGAAAAUGAUGUUUAUCAGCAAAGGGGAAAUAUUCAAGCUAGUCGAAUAGGUGGUGAGUAUGAGUCAGAAGAGGAUUCUCUGGAGGAAGAGGACUUUUGCAGUACAAGGAAAAGACAAACAAGGUCUACAGCUAAACGAAAAGUAAAAACCGAGAUAGUUCAGAGUCCGAGAGAGACGAAUAAAGAAUUCGAUUCAUACAUGGAAGGACCUAGCACACGGCUUAGGGUGAAAAUCCCAAAGCCCUCAAGAGUGUCUUCAGAAACAAAAGCAAAGAAAAUUGGUAAGAAAGGAAGUCGUAAUGCUUCCUUCUCCAGAGUUGCAACUGAAGAAGAUGUGGAGGAAGAAGAAGAAGAAGAAGAAAAAGAGAAUGAGGAAGAGGAAUGUGCGGCGUACCAAUGUGACAUGGAGGGUUGCACAAUGAGUUUUAGUUCGGAAAAACAGUUGACAUUGCAUAAAAGAAACAUCUGCCCUGUUAAAGGCUGUGGUAAAAACUUCUUCUCACACAAGUAUUUGGUUCAACACCAGCGAGUUCACUCAGACGACCGUCCUCUGAA
This 8625-nucleotide long non-coding RNA is filed under the name Arabidopsis lyrata. RNAcentral's name for it is "long non-coding RNA (ALYR_LNC001754)". The record is from RNAcentral. Lineage: Eukaryota; Viridiplantae; Streptophyta; Magnoliopsida; Brassicales; Brassicaceae.